GUCUCCACUCUGACCAUCUGUAUUCUGUGUUGGUACGCACUCCCUACUUUAAAUGGAAAUUAACGCAGAGGAAAGCAAAGCUGUGUGCUGGGGAGACAGAACUCUGAGAACAUCAAUCAAGUACCUUGCUCCAGUUGCAUUCCCCAAAGGAUCUGGAAAGUCUUCAAGAACAGAAAGCAACAAUAAAACAGCAAUAAUGAUUGAAUAGUUCACCCACCACACAGAGAUAGGAGUCAAAUUUAGUGAAAACUGGAUCAUUCAUUAAAAUUCCACAAAAACAGGCAGUAACCUCCCACAAUGGCUUUAAAUAACCUUUGAGAACAAUGGGAGUCAGAUAACCUGACUUUUUAACCUGGAUGUGAUGAAAAGUAUCCAAAAUAGACUGUGGAAGAAGUGAAGAUUUACUUUCUCUGCUGAAAUGGGGAGCAAGCUAUCUGUCCCCAAAAUACUAUCAUUCCCACAA
Choloepus didactylus (southern two-toed sloth) is the source of this 463-nucleotide long non-coding RNA. RefSeq lists it as uncharacterized. NCBI's taxonomy places the organism in Eukaryota, Metazoa, Chordata, Mammalia, Pilosa, Megalonychidae. The transcript has 3 exons. The record is from RefSeq and is a predicted model, not a curated record.